UAAAUGCAAACAACAGUAAACAAUGUCAUCUUGGCUGCCAAUGUUGUUAAAUUCUCCCUAAUUCUGGGUCACAUUACUGCUGAAACAUGUCCAGUUGGGUAGUGUUUGGUUCAGAACCCUUUAUCUGUGAUUUUGAGAGUAGAAAGUGCUGCUUUGUUCUACUAC
This is a long non-coding RNA of Etheostoma spectabile (orangethroat darter), 165 nucleotides long. RefSeq lists it as uncharacterized. The record is from RefSeq and is a predicted model, not a curated record. The transcript has 3 exons. Lineage: Eukaryota; Metazoa; Chordata; Actinopteri; Perciformes; Percidae.